RNAcentral lists this ribosomal RNA (1136 nucleotides) under Triticum aestivum (bread wheat). Its description in RNAcentral is "partial small subunit ribosomal RNA". The record is from RNAcentral. Lineage: Eukaryota; Viridiplantae; Streptophyta; Magnoliopsida; Poales; Poaceae.
CCCUCGAUCGAAUCCCCACCUCCCCUCCUUUCACCGUCGGCCACCCCACCCUCGACCCGCCGGCCGCCCCACCCUCCCCGCCUUUUCCAGCACCUGCUAGCCUCCCCUCCCCUCCACCAAGCUCGUCCACUGGAUCCAGUAGCCCCCGCACCCCUCCCUCCGGCGCCGCGGAGACACCUCCCCCCAACUCCGGUUGGAUCCGCCAACUUCCCUGACUGCGCUGCAUCGCUGGAUCCGAUGCCGUCCUGGGCAGCAGCCACUUCUCCCUCCUCUCCUUCUUCAUCCCCCGAGAUGGGACACACCAACGGAUGAGGUUGCGGCUGUCGGAUGCACGCCGGCCUUCCUUCCGACGACCUGCUCCGGCAAAAAGCCAACUACGCCGGCCUCCUCACCUCCGGGCGACUCUCAUCAAGCGACAUCUUGCCCCAUCCUCUCCCAUGUGGGCCAGCCGUCGGAUCCGCGUCACCGUCCUCCCUUCUUCCCGUGCCUCUACGUCGUCGUCCCCGCCGGAUCCGCGUCGCCGUCCCUGUCGGCCCCCACGUCAGCUAGCCGCCGGAUCCGCCUCGCCGUCCUCCACCAACCACCAUCCACCGAAUCCGGCGAGCUCGGGGAGGUUACCGGCGACUCUCGCCUCCCCAUUCCUCCACCACCUCCCGAUGCAGUGCUGCGCCUUGGUCCCGACGCAGGCUUGCAGUUCACCAGUUUCCGCUAGGACGACCACGACGACUCUUGAUGCAGUCCUCAACCCUCACUGGUGGUCGCCGCCGCACGUGAGCCCACGCCACUACUGCCCCCUGACGCAGCACGACUUUCUUUGCUGCGGGUUGUAUGAAUUACAGUGCGGCUCAGAUCGUACCAUGCUGUUUGGAGCAUGUGAGCAUGCAGUGCAAAAUGUUGCAUUUUGUUUUUGAGUUUAUGUAUAAAAAAAUUAAAGGGACUUUAUUUGAAUGUGCUUAGAAAUUGCAGUUUGGAGUAUCUGCACAUGCAGUGUAGACGCUACUUUUGUGUUUGUGGAUUUUUUUUAUAAAGAUUAUAGGGACUCAUUUGAUUGCAGCGAAACAUGGUGAUGUUCAGACAUGAGCAUGCAGUUUCGACCAUGUGGACAUGCAGUGCAAAAAUGGUGUUUUCCGUGUUUG